GACGAACUGUCCAAACGUUAUUCGGAAUCACUGGGCUUAAAGGGUGCGUAGGCGGACUUGCAAGUGGGAUCUGAAAUCCCCCGGCUCAACCGGGGAACUGGGUCUCAAACUGCGAGACUUGAGUGAGGCAGGGGUAAGUGGAACUUGCGGUGGAGCGGUGAAAUGCUUUGAUAUCGCAAGGAACACCGGUGGCGAAGGCGACUUACUGGGCCUUAACUGACGCUGAGGCACGAAAGCCAGGGUAGCAAACGGGAUUAGAUACC
This 263-nucleotide ribosomal RNA is filed under the name uncultured bacterium. RNAcentral describes it as "partial 16S ribosomal RNA". It matches the Rfam family "Bacterial small subunit ribosomal RNA", at positions 524 to 786 of the family's 1533-position model. The record is from RNAcentral.